UAGAGUUUGAUCCUGGCUCAGAACGAACGCAGGCGGCAKGCCUAACACAUGCAAGUCGAACGAAGCCUUCGGGCUUAGUGGCGCACGGGUGCGUUAACGCGCUGGGAAUCUGCCUCUUGCUUCGGAAUAACAGUGGGAAACUACUGCUAAUACCGGAUGAUGUCUUCGGACCAAAGAUUUAUCGGCAAGAGAUGAGCCCGCGUAGGAUUAGGUAGUUGGUGGGGUAAAGGCCUACCAAGCCGACGAUCCUUAGCUGGUCUGAGAGGAUGAUCAGCCACACUGGGACUGAGACACGGCCCAGACUCCUACGGGAGGCAGCAGUGGGGAAUAUUGGACAAUGGGGGCAACCCUGAUCCAGCAAUGCCGCGUGAGUGAUGAAGGCCUUAGGGUUGUAAAGCUCUUUUACCAGGGAUGAUAAUGACAGUACCUGGAGAAUAAGCUCCGGCUAACUCCGUGCCAGCAGCCGCGGUAAUACGGAGGGAGCUAGCGUUGUUCGGAAUUACUGGGCGUAAAGCGCACGUAGGCGGUUACUCAAGUCAGAGGUGAAAGCCCGGGGCUCAACCCCGGAACUGCCUUUGAAACUAGGUAACUAGAAUCCUGGAGAGGUGAGUGGAAUUCCGAGUGUAGAGGUGAAAUUCGUAGAUAUUCGGAAGAGCACCCAGUGGCGAAGGCGGCUCACUGGACAGGUAUGACGCUAGUCNAGGAGC
RNAcentral lists this ribosomal RNA (707 nucleotides) under uncultured bacterium. RNAcentral's name for it is "bacterial SSU rRNA". It matches the Rfam family "Bacterial small subunit ribosomal RNA", at positions 1 to 754 of the family's 1533-position model. The record is from RNAcentral.